CGCUUCUUUUUCCACCGGAGCUUGCUCCACCGGAAAAAGAGGAGUGGCGAAUCGGGUGAGUAACACGUGGGUAACCUGCCCAUCAGAAGGGGAUAACACUUGGAAACAGGUGCUAAUACCGUAUAACAAUCGAAACCGCAUGGUUUUGAUUUGAAAGGCGCUUUCGGGUGUCGCUGAUGGAUGGACCCGCGGUGCAUUAGCUAGUUGGUGAGGUAACGGCUCACCAAGGCGACGAUGCAUAGCCGACCUGAGAGGGUGAUCGGCCACAUUGGGACUGAGACACGGCCCAAACUCCUACGGGAGGCAGCAGUAGGGAAUCUUCGGCAAUGGACGAAAGUCUGACCGAGCAACGCCGCGUGAGUGAAGAAGGUUUUCGGAUCGUAAAACUCUGUUGUUAGAGAAGAACAAGGAUGAGAGUAACUGUUCAUCCCUUGACGGUAUCUAACCAGAAAGCCACGGCUAACUACGUGCCAGCAGCCGCGGUAAUACGUAGGUGGCAAGCGUUGUCCGGAUUUAUUGGGCGUAAAGCGAGCGCAGGCGGUUUCUUAAGUCUGAUGUGAAAGCCCCCGGCUCAACCGGGGAGGGUCAUUGGAAACUGGGAGACUUGAGUGCAGAAGAGGAGAGUGGAAUUCCAUGUGUAGCGGUGAAAUGCGUA
Molecule: ribosomal RNA, 655 nt
Filed under: uncultured bacterium
Lineage: Bacteria
Description: bacterial SSU rRNA
Rfam family: Bacterial small subunit ribosomal RNA
Source: RNAcentral